This 297-nucleotide long non-coding RNA is filed under the name Triticum aestivum (bread wheat). Its description in RNAcentral is "long non-coding RNA (TAES_LNC002105)". Lineage: Eukaryota; Viridiplantae; Streptophyta; Magnoliopsida; Poales; Poaceae. The record is from RNAcentral.
CAUUUUGCUCCGUAUGUAGUCCAUAUUGAAAUCUCUGAAAAUGCUUAUAUUUAGGAACGAAGGGAGUAUCAUAUAGGACUCUGACAUGAACUAAAUUUUGCAGCAUCUGAUCGAACCUAUUAUGGAUAAAUUGUAGGAAUCCAACACUUUUCUCCUAGUAGAAGACAUAUAAAUGCUUCCCUUCAAAAAAAAAGAAGACAUAUAAAUGCUAAUUUAGCUGCACAUAGAGUCUGCUACGUUUAAUGUCAUUGGCGAUGUUCUUAGCAUCCAUGGCAAUACCAGCCAAUCCCCUUCUCC